RNAcentral lists this ribosomal RNA (506 nucleotides) under uncultured bacterium. RNAcentral's name for it is "partial 16S ribosomal RNA". It matches the Rfam family "Bacterial small subunit ribosomal RNA", at positions 28 to 523 of the family's 1533-position model. The record is from RNAcentral.
GAUGAACGCUAGCUACAGGCUUAACACAUGCAAGUCGAGGGGUAACAAGAGAAAAGCUUGCUUUUCUUGUUGACGACCGGCGCACGGGUGAGUAACGCGUAUCCAACCUGCCUAUAACUAGGGAAUAACCUUGCGAAAGUAAGACUAAUACCCUGUGAUUUCCUUUGAUGACAUCAGAUUAGGAAUAAAGAUUUAUCGGUUAUAGAUGGGGAUGCGUCUGAUUAGCUUGUUGGCGGGGUAACGGCCCACCAAGGCAACGAUCAGUAGGGGUUCUGAGAGGAAGGUCCCCCACAUUGGAACUGAGACACGGUCCAAACUCCUACGGGAGGCAGCAGUGAGGAAUAUUGGUCAAUGGGCGGAAGCCUGAACCAGCCAAGUAGCGUGCAGGAUGACGGUCCUAUGGGUUGUAAACUGCUUUUAUACAGGAAUAAAGUUAGCCACGUGUGGUUAUUUGUAGGUACUGUAUGAAUAAGGACCGGCUAAUUCCGUGCCAGCAGCCGCGGUAA